Molecule: transfer RNA, 70 nt
Filed under: Fringilla teydea teydea
Lineage: Eukaryota; Metazoa; Chordata; Aves; Passeriformes; Fringillidae
Also listed under: 1 other name
Description: tRNA-Pro
Rfam family: tRNA
About the family: Transfer RNA (tRNA) molecules are approximately 80 nucleotides in length. Their secondary structure includes four short double-helical elements and three loops (D, anti-codon, and T loops). Further hydrogen bonds mediate the characteristic L-shaped molecular structure. tRNAs have two regions of fundamental functional importance: the anti-codon, which is responsible for specific mRNA codon recognition, and the 3' end, to which the tRNAs corresponding amino acid is attached (by aminoacyl-tRNA synthetases). tRNAs cope with the degeneracy of the genetic code in two manners: having more than one tRNA (with a specific anti-codon) for a particular amino acid; and 'wobble' base-pairing, i.e. permitting non-standard base-pairing at the 3rd anti-codon position.
Source: RNAcentral
CAGGAGGUAGUUUAGUCUAAAAUGCCAGCUUUGGGAGUUGGAGAUGAAGGUUUGAUUCCUUUCUUCCUGA